This 200-nucleotide unclassified non-coding RNA is filed under the name soil metagenome. RNAcentral describes it as "partial contains internal transcribed spacer 2 and large subunit ribosomal RNA". The record is from RNAcentral.
UGUUCGAGCGCCAUUUCUACCCUGGAGCCCUGCUCUGUGAUGGGCCCCGUCCUCGCGGACGGGCCCGAAACCCGUGGCGCCGUCGUCCGGCCCUGAGCGUAGCAAGAGAAAUCCCUCGCUCGGAGUGUCCGCACGGUGGCCGCCCCGACCCAUUUUACAAGGUUGGCCUCGGAUCAGGUGGGGAUACCCGCUGAACUUAA